Molecule: unclassified non-coding RNA, 380 nt
Filed under: uncultured Neonectria
Lineage: Eukaryota; Fungi; Ascomycota; Sordariomycetes; Hypocreales; Nectriaceae
Description: sequence contains ITS2
Rfam family: 5.8S ribosomal RNA (bases 1-154)
Source: RNAcentral
AACUUUCAGCAACGGAUCACGUGGUUCUGGCAUCGAUGAAGAACGCAGCGAAAUGCGAUAAGUAAUGUGAAUUGCAGAAUUCAGUGAAUCAUCGAAUCUUUGAACGCACAUUGCGCCCGCCAGUAUUCUGGCGGGCAUGCCUGUUCGAGCGUCAUUUCAACCCUCAAGCCCCCGGGCUUGGUGUUGGAGAUCGGCGUGCCCUCCGGGGCGCGCCGGCUCCCAAAUAUAGUGGCGGUCUCGCUGUAGCUUCCUCUGCGUAGUAGCACACCUCGCACUGGAAAACAGCGUGGCCACGCCGUUAAACCCCCCACUUCUGAAAGGUUGACCUCGGAUCAGGUAGGAAUACCCGCUGAACUUAAGCAUAUCAAUAAGCGGAGGCU